CAGUCGCCGCGGUAAAACGUAGGUGGCAAGCGUUGUCCGGAAUUAUUGGGCGUAAAGGGCUCGCAGGCGGUUUCUUAAGUCUGAUGUGAAAGCCCCCGGCUCAACCGGGGAGGGUCAUUGGAAACUGGGAAACUUGAGUGCAGAAGAGGAGAGUGGAAUUCCACGUGUAGCGGUGAAAUGCGUAGAGAUGUGGAGGAACACCAGUGGCGAAGGCGACUCUCUGGUCUGUAACUGACGCUGAGGAGCGAAAGCGUGGGGAGCGAACAGGAUUAGAUACCCGGGUAGUCCCUGUCUCUUAUAC
RNAcentral lists this ribosomal RNA (301 nucleotides) under uncultured bacterium. RNAcentral's name for it is "partial 16S ribosomal RNA". It matches the Rfam family "Bacterial small subunit ribosomal RNA", at positions 509 to 807 of the family's 1533-position model. The record is from RNAcentral.